RNAcentral lists this small nuclear RNA (21 nucleotides) under Arabidopsis thaliana (thale cress). Its description in RNAcentral is "snRNA_02507". Lineage: Eukaryota; Viridiplantae; Streptophyta; Magnoliopsida; Brassicales; Brassicaceae. The record is from RNAcentral.
UCUACAUCACUAUUGAAAUAA